CGUACGGUCUCUUCGUUUGCGUCCGGAAUCUCAAAACAAGAGGGACACAAACGGUUUCCCAGAGUUUUUACCGCAACCCGCAGAGACUUGAUUGGAAAUUGCAAGUUUCAACUCAACCCAGUUUAAUCCAACGGUCGAAUUUAAUACCGAGAAGGGCAAAAUACGCAGAGCCCGUAACCCGCCCGCCCGCCCUCGCCCCUCACGGUUCUCCAGGUAUCGGCGGCCUACCUACCUACCUACCUAAUCCAGCCGGUUCGGCAGACGUUUGCGGACGACAGGAAAAUACGAAACGGUUGAAUAAUGGUUUCGAGGAACGGGGUACUCAAUGGACUGCAGACUUCGCUGGUGUCGCGGACAAAGAGACGUGAAAAAAUAAAUAAA
RNAcentral lists this unclassified non-coding RNA (381 nucleotides) under Athalia rosae (coleseed sawfly). Its description in RNAcentral is "misc RNA ENSAEAG00005012792.1". The record is from RNAcentral. Lineage: Eukaryota; Metazoa; Arthropoda; Insecta; Hymenoptera; Athaliidae.